UAGGAUAGAGGCCUACCAUGGUGGUAACGGGUAACGGGGUGUUAGGGCACGACACCGGAGAGGGAGCCUGAGAAACGGCUACCACAUCCAAGGAUGGCAGCAGGCGCGCAAAUUACCCAAUCCCGACACGGGGAGGUAGUGACAAUAAAUAACAAUACGGGGUUCUUUAGGAUCUCGUAAUUGGAAUGAGUACAAUUUAAAUCUCUUAACGAGGAACAAUUGGAGGGCAAGUCUGGUGCCAGCAGCCGCGGUAAUUCCAGCUCCAAUAGCGUAUAUUAAAGUUGUUGCAGUUAAAAAGCUCGUAGUUGAAUUUCGGGGUUAGUAGGUUGGUCAUGCCUCUGGUAUGUACUGGUCUCACUGAUUCCUCCUUCCUUAUGAACCGUAAUGCCAUUAAUUUGGUGUUGCGGGGAAUUUGGACUGUUACUUUGAAAAAAUUAGAGUGUUUAAAGCAAGCUAACGCUUGAAUACAUUAGCAUGGAAUAAUGAAAUAGGACGUUCGAUCUUAUUUUGUUGGUUUCUAGGAUUGACGUAAUGAUUAAUAGGGAUAGUUGGGGGCAUUAGUAUUCAAUUGUCAGAGGUGAAAUUCUUGGAUUUAUUGAAGACUAACUACUGCGAAAGCAUUUGCCAAGGAUGUUUUCAUUAAUCAAGAACGAAAGUUAGGGGAUCGAAGACGAUCAGAUACCGUCGUAGUCUUAACCAUAAACUAUGCCGACUAGGGAUCGGA
Molecule: ribosomal RNA, 724 nt
Filed under: uncultured fungus
Lineage: Eukaryota; Fungi
Description: SSU rRNA
Rfam family: Eukaryotic small subunit ribosomal RNA
Source: RNAcentral